Bombus huntii is the source of this 2247-nucleotide long non-coding RNA. RefSeq lists it as uncharacterized. The record is from RefSeq and is a predicted model, not a curated record. The transcript is spliced from 2 exons. NCBI's taxonomy places the organism in Eukaryota, Metazoa, Arthropoda, Insecta, Hymenoptera, Apidae.
ACUAAAUAAAUAUUAUAUAGAAUAUGAUGUUGCAUCAACGAUUAACUAAAUAACUGAAUGCUCGCUCCAAUAACUAUGUACUAAAAAAGUCAUAGAGCAAGGAGUUAACAUCGACCAUGAACGUUGAAAACGACGCGAUGUUCAUUUAUUCUUCCCAAUUGAAACCGACAACCGAACUAAACCGAACCGAUUGUUUUGCCACUGUUGGCGUAGAUGUUCGAUUCAUAUUGACCAGCAUCCCAAAUGGCACCGAAUGAACUACUCUAUCAGAAUCGUAAAUUGAAACGAUCGUAAAGAUUCAUGAAGCGUCGUUAAAUAACACUUAUGUUAAUGAUCGUUCGCGCACACAUACGCGUACGACGACGCACAAAAUUGUUUCAAUCUAGUAGAAAUGUGACAACCGUCGUAAUAAAAGCACAUGGACGCAUGGCUGACGGCCAACGAUACAAAAAUUCUUGCCGAUUCUAAUUUGGUCCCGAUGUCGAGGUACAAUCCUCCACGUUCCACGUAUUAUUGUUCUCGGCUCCAUUGAAUAAGGAGUUGCGGCCAUCUUCGACUAAACUUCAUUCAACGGAGCCAACACAUACCACACGCAUCAUGUGGUAACCCAAUACAAACACGUGACAAGCGCGCGAUUAUUCGGGAUGCUGUUACAGCGAAAUCACUAUCGAGUAGAUUAAGCUGAAACUAUCGAAGUUCGCGAGGAGUCGCGUAGCACCUGUUUCAAGGACCUCGGCGAACCUUGCGUUCGUGUACCGUAGCCGUCUAACCAGAAAUCAAUUUUAAUCGAUUUCAUGCUCGGCCAGCCAUCUAAACUCUUCGGUGAACCGAAUGUACGUAUUUGUUUGGAAAUUUUGAUACUUCUAUCGAGUUCUAGAUGGCUACACCAUGGACUAAGAGCUAGUACACGAUAUAACAUAAUAGGCUUCCCCUUAACCUUUCGCUAACUCGAUAUAACAGGUAAGGUUAGUAUAAUAAAGUUGAUAUAAGCAGCUUAAAAAGUGCUAGUAAAUACGCUCUAAUUUCCACUAGAGGUCGAACGUACGAGUUCCAUACGAAUUGACUACAAUUCCACAUUUUUUCAUUUUUUUUUUUUUUUUUUUUUUUUUUUUUUUUUACUGUUCGAGCAUUUUCACGCCGACUAAUUCGCAGUAGAAUUAUCGUAUCGAUACCAAAUAUGUAUAAAACAAUCGUUACGUUAUAACGUGGACAACGGCAAUCCAUGCAAAUGUGUUGCACACGUAUCACGAUGCCAUUUAGUGAGCCAUUAAUCGCAUGGGUUGAAAAUUAUCAGGCUCUUAUAUUUGAUACAGCGUAAAACCAAGAAACGAGCAUUCUUCCGACAAAGACUAUCGACUGCAUCGAUAAAGAAUUUCCGUGACAUAAUCGAGAAUCUACACGCGACCGAUAAUUCACAUGCAGAAGAAAGUGUUCCAUGAACGAAUCACGUACAUGUCUAGAAUGUUGUCCAUCGUUUAAAUGGCGCCAUUUAUAAGUUGUCGUUUAAAAUGACGAGUGGCUACAGAAGCGUCGAAAACAUAUUUCAAGCGCAUAAUAGACGAUACUUCUCUAAGAAUACAGACGAUCGUAUAUUUCGAUAAAAAUAUUAGUUAUUCUUGAUUCACAAGGUAAGUCUUCACAUUCUACACGAUGACUAUAGUGCCGGUCAAUUACAUAUGUACGUGUGUGUAGUCGUACAAUUUCAUUUCGUAAUAAUUUCAUUUCGUUCCUGUCGGAUUUCAUUUCGAGUUCGCAACUUUAUUGACGUAUAUACAUAUAUAUAUACACACACACGCGCACACACGCACAUACACACACACAACUGAGGAUACGAUCGUGAUCGACUACAGCGAUAAACGACAUAUCGAUAAUCUCCAUGAUGUAAAAAAAGGAUGAAAGACGCGCUACGUUGCAGUUCGAUAUGUCACGCGCGAUAAUCGAUAACUCUCUUCAACGACUAACCCUAUACGGAAAAGGGUUAAAUAGAUGAUCGUGAACAGUGGCGUUCGCGAGAAGGCAAUCACGUGUUUGACCCACGAUCGACGGAACACGCAUCGCGGGUCAUGCAAUACAGUCACGACUCCGCGCGUCAUCGCGUGUAUUGACAAAAUGUUUUCUAUUGCAUAUCACAUGCAAGGCGGUACACGGUGAUACGGCCUUAACUUGGAUUACAUGCAGAGACGACGUAGAUCAACGUCUUUCGUGAUAACAGACCCACAGAAAAAAAAAAAAAAAUAAAAAGGAAAA